GAGCUCGUAGGCGGUUUGUCGCGUCUGCUGUGAAAGCCCGGGGCUCAACCCCGGGUCUGCAGUGGGUACGGGCAGACUAGAGUGAUGUAGGGGAGACUGGAAUUCCUGGUGUAGCGGUGAAAUGCGCAGAUAUCAGGAGGAACACCGAUGGCGAAGGCAGGUCUCUGGGCAUUAACUGACGCUGAGGAGCGAAAGCAUGGGGAGCGAACAGGAUUAGAUACCCUGGUAGUCCAUGCCGUAAACGUUGGGCACUAGGUGUGGGGGACAUUCCACGUUUUCCGCGCCGUAGCUAACGCAUUAAGUGCCCCGCCUGGGGAGUACGGCCGCAAGGCUAAAACUCAAAGGAAUUGACGGGGGCCCGCACAAGCGGCGGAGCAUGCGGAUUAAUUCGAUGCAACGCGAAGAACCUUACCAAGGCUUGACAUGAACCGGUAAAGCGUAGAAAUACGCUCCCCACUUGUGGCCGGUUUACAGGUGGUGCAUGGUUGUCGUCAGCUCGUGUCGUGAGAUGUUGGGUUAAGUCCCGCAACGAGCGCAACCCUCGUUCUAUGUUGCCAGCGGGUUAUGCCGGGGACUCAUAGGAGACUGCCGGGGUCAACUCGGAGGAAGGUGGGGACGACGUCAAAUCAUCAUGCCCCUUAUGUCUUGGGCUUCACGCAUGCUACAAUGGCCGGUACAAAGGGUUGCGAUACUGUGAGGUGGAGCUAAUCCCAAAAAGCCGGUCUCAGUUCGCAUUGAGGUCUGCAACUCGACCUCAUGAAGUUGGAGUCGCUAGUAAUCGCAGAUCAGCAACGCUGCGGUGAAUACGUUCCCGGGCCUUGUACACACCGCCCGUCAAGUCACGAAAGUUGGUAACACCCGAAGCCGGUGGCCUAACCCCUUGUGGGAGGGAGCCGUCGAAGGUGGGACCGGCGAUUGGGACGAAGUCGUA
This 931-nucleotide ribosomal RNA is filed under the name Arthrobacter gandavensis. Its description in RNAcentral is "bacterial SSU rRNA". It matches the Rfam family "Bacterial small subunit ribosomal RNA", at positions 565 to 1490 of the family's 1533-position model. Lineage: Bacteria; Bacillati; Actinomycetota; Actinomycetes; Micrococcales; Micrococcaceae. The record is from RNAcentral.